AUGAUAAUAUUAUUUUGUAGUUUUAAAAUUUUUGUUUCUCUUCUAAUUUUCACUCACAUUUUACAGCCUUCAGAUACUAUCUGUUACAGUCUGAUAUUAGAACCUAGAAGUUGUUUGUUGGACUGCUUUCCUUCACUGUGUCUGCUGCUUCCGUUUCCUGAUGUUUCAUCUUCUAAUCGGGUUAAAGAGCCCUCGGUGAAGAUGGACCCAAGGGCAUCACUGUUGACAAGGGAGACCUUGUUGUGGCCGGUCAGUGUGUGGUCGGGGGUACACCUGUGCCUGAAGCCUGACGUCACUCACCAGCUGGCCCUGGUGAUGGUGCCUGGAAUGCAACACGGCAAAGCUUUGGAUAAAGGGAGCAGCAAGACCCAAGGCACACCCGCCCCCUGGCUGGCUCAUAGUGCUUAUGACAGAUGGGGCUGGCUAGUUGGGGAACAUGUAGUACCCCUAGCCUGGGUGCUGCGCUGCAUAGAACACAUUAGGGUAACACCACUGUGAGAUAGGGACCCGCCACGACCUGUGCAAACAUAACAUGCACCUUUGGUGUGGUGGCACAGGUGGCCUCACCACGGUCAGGCCCUGAUGGACUUUGUACCCUCUGGGAGUUUUUGGGUCUGUGGGUACACAGCGUGGCCUUACCUGCCAAGCGAACUGGACUGGACGUUGUUCCUGAGGGUGGCCUUAUGGACCUGCCACUGUCCUCCCCGCAUUACCCAGAUGCCCACAUAACUGAGAGGCACUACCCUCCCAGUUUUUGAAGUGCAGCGAGCCGCCUGGCAGGUCUAUCCCUUGGCAUUAACCGUUCCUGGAGCAGGUGUUAUAACUAUAGAGAAACAAGCAAUGGCUCUUGCAGAGCAUUCUACUAUAAGGACACAUGCAUACGAAUGUUCAUUGCAGCACUGUUUACAAUAGCAAAGACCUGGAACCAACCCAAAUGCCCACUGAUGAUAGACUGGACAGGGAAAAUGUGGCACAUAUACACCAUGGAAUAUUAUGCAGCCAUCAAAAACGAUGAGUUCGUGUCCUUUGUAGGGACAUGGAUGAACCUGGAAACCAUCAUCGUCAGCAAACUGACACAGGAACAGAAAAUCAAACACCGCAUGUUCUCACUCAUAGAUGGUUGUUGAACAAUGAGAACACAUGGACACAGGGAGGGGAGCAUCACACACUGGGGUCUGUUGGGGGGAAAAGGGGAUGGACAGUGGGGGGUGGGGAGUUGGGGAGAGAUAGCAUGGGGAGAAAUGCCAGAUAUAGGUGAAGGGGAGGAAGGCAGCAAAUCACACUGCCACUUGUGUACCUGUGCAACAAUCUUGCAUGUUCUUCACAUGUACCCCAAAACCUAAAAUGCAAUAAAAGAAAUUUAAAAAGUAAAUCCCUUGCUUACCCCUUUUCCCCCACCUUACAAAAAGCAUCUGAGCUAAACUUUCUGUACUCCAUAGGUCAGUCCUUUUUAUUUCUGUGCUGAUGUUUAUCUGGAAAUAAAACCAUUUUGAUGUUCUUAAAAAGAAUUAAUUAAUUAAUGCAAUGAUGUUAACUUCAAAUCUCACUGUU
Molecule: long non-coding RNA, 1551 nt
Organism: Callithrix jacchus (white-tufted-ear marmoset)
Lineage: Eukaryota; Metazoa; Chordata; Mammalia; Primates; Cebidae
Source: Ensembl